This 505-nucleotide ribosomal RNA is filed under the name uncultured bacterium. Its description in RNAcentral is "partial 16S ribosomal RNA". It matches the Rfam family "Bacterial small subunit ribosomal RNA", at positions 28 to 507 of the family's 1533-position model. The record is from RNAcentral.
GACGAACGCUGGCGGCGUGCCUAAUACAUGCAAGUAGAACGCACAGUUUAUACCGUAGCUUGCUACACCAUAGACUGUGAGUUGCGAACGGGUGAGUAACGCGUAGGUAACCUGCCUGGUAGCGGGGGAUAACUAUUGGAAACGAUAGCUAAUACCGCAUAAUAUUAAUUAUUGCAUGAUAAUUAAUUGAAAGGUGCAAUUGCACCACUACCAGAUGGACCUGCGUUGUAUUAGCUAGUAGGUGAGGUAACGGCUCACCUAGGCGACGAUACAUAGCCGACCUGAGAGGGUGAUCGGCCACACUGGGACUGAGACGCGGCCCAGACUCCUACGGGAGGCAGCAGUAGGGAAUCUUCGGCAAUGGACGAAAGUCUGACCGAGCAACGCCGCGUGAGUGAAGAAGGGUUUCGGAUCGUAAAGCUCUGUUGUAAGAGAAGAACGGGUGUGAGAGUGGAAAGUUCACACUGUGACGGUAUCUUACCAGAAAGGGACGGCUAACUACGUG